This 253-nucleotide ribosomal RNA is filed under the name uncultured bacterium. RNAcentral describes it as "partial 16S ribosomal RNA". It matches the Rfam family "Bacterial small subunit ribosomal RNA", at positions 524 to 776 of the family's 1533-position model. The record is from RNAcentral.
UACAUGGGGUGCAAACGUUGCUCGGAAUUAUUGGGCGUAAAGCGCGCGUAGGCGGUUACUCAAGUCGGAUGUGAAAGCCCUCGGCUUAACUGAGGAAGUGCACCCGAAACUGAGUAGCUAGAGUACCAAAGAGGGUCGCGGAAUUCCCGGUGUAGAGGUGAAAUUCGUAGAUAUCAGGAGGAACACCGGUGGCGAAGGCGGGUCUCUGGGCCGUAACUGACGCUGAGGAGCGAAAGCGUGGGGAGCGAACAGG